RNAcentral lists this ribosomal RNA (459 nucleotides) under uncultured bacterium. RNAcentral describes it as "partial 16S ribosomal RNA". It matches the Rfam family "Bacterial small subunit ribosomal RNA", at positions 338 to 795 of the family's 1533-position model. The record is from RNAcentral.
CCUACGGGAGACAGCAGUGAGGAAUAUUGGUCAAUGGCCGCAGGUCUGAACCAGCCAAGUCGCGUGAGGGAUGACGGUCCUAUGGAUUGUAAACCUCUUUUGUCAGGGAGCAAAGGGCGCCACGUGUGGCUCUUUGCGAGUACCUUACGAAAAAGCAUCGGCUAACUCCGUGCCAGCAGCCGCGGUAAUACGGAGGAUGCGAGCGUUAUCCGGAUUUAUUGGGGUUAAAGGGUGCGCGGGCGGAAUGUAAAGUUAGCGGUAAAAUUUCGGGGCUCAACCCCGACGUGCCGUUGAAACUGGCGGUCUUGAGUGAGGGAGAAGUAGGCGGAAUGCGUGGUGUAGCGGUGAAAUGCAUAGAUAUCACGCAGAACUCCGAUUGCGAAGGCAGCAUACCGGGGCUCAACUGACGCUCAUGCACGAAAGCGUGGGUAUCGAACAGGAUUAGAUACCCUGGUAGUC